RNAcentral lists this long non-coding RNA (1918 nucleotides) under Marmota monax (woodchuck). The stretch from base 152 to 213 matches the Rfam family "Gag/pol translational readthrough site". Lineage: Eukaryota; Metazoa; Chordata; Mammalia; Rodentia; Sciuridae. The record is from RNAcentral.
CAGGGAGACAGGAAGGAAUACCUGGGCCCACACCAGAGGCCACCCCUGGCCUCAGAUCAAUAUGCCUACUGUAAAAAAAAAACACUAAGCCAAAGAGUGCCCUAAAAAGAGACAGCCACGCCAGCCAGCCAUUCUGACUCUGGAGGAUGACUAAAAAUGUCAGGGCUCAGAUCCCCUCCCCGAGCUCGGGGUAACUUUUGAAGUGGAGGGGACCCCAGUAAACUUUGAAGUGGAUACAGGGGCAGUAUACUCAGUCCUUAAGGCCCCAUUGGGCCCUCUAUUAAAUAAAAGGUCUCUAAUUCAAGGGACUAACAGCAGUAAAUAUCGGGCUUGGACAACUAAGAAGACCAUGGACCUGGGGAAAGGAAAAAUCCAUCACUCCUUACUAGUAAUCCCAGAAUGCCCAGCCCCAUUGAUAGGCAGAAAUCUGCUCACCAAGCUCCAGGCCAAAAUAACUUUUAACCCUGAAGGUCCCCAAAUGAAAUUUCUAAAUCCUUCAGUAAAAAUUCCUAUAGUCAUGGCUUUAACUAUGUCAGUAAAAGAUGAACAUCAACUCUUCACACCCCCCAAGACUGAUCAAACAGUCAAGCUACCCCAGAAAUGGAUAACAGAUUACCCAGAUGCCUGGGCAGAAAUUGCUAGGUUGGGCCUAGCCGUGAAACAACCUCCAAUAACAGUGGAGUUAAAAACCUCAGCCUCCCCAAUCAAUGUCAAACAAUAUCCUCUGGAAAAAAAACAACUAAAGAUGGGAUAAGGCCCCAUAUUCAGAAAUAUCUGGCCUUAGGGGUCCUAAGGCCCUGUCAAUCAGCCUGGAACACUCCCCUGCUACCAGUAAGAAAAGCCAGGAACUGGGGACUAUCACCCCAUUCAAGACCUAAAAGAGAUCAACAACAGAGUGCAGGACAUUCACCCCAUGGUACCUAAUCCGUACAAUCUGCUUAACACUCUAAACCCUGAGAGAAAAUGGUAUAUGGUAUACUGUUCUGGACUUAAAGGAUGCUUUCUUUUGCUUGCCUCUGCAUAAAGAUAGUCAGUUGCUGUUUGCUUUCGAGUGGGUAAACCCAGAAACUGGAACGUCUGAUCAACUAACUUGGACCAGACACCAACAGGGGUUCAAAAACUCCCCCACUCUCUUUGAUGAAGCCCUCCACAGAGAUCUCAAUAACUUUAGAACUAUGCACCCUGAAGUAACCCUGCUUCAAUAUGUGGAUGACCUGCUACUGGCAGCAGACACCAAGGAAAACUGUGAGUCUGGUACCCAAGCACUAUUAUCCGAGCUUGCUCAACUCGGAUAUAAAGCUUCUGCCAAAAAGGCCCAAAUUUGCCAGCAAGAAGUAAUCUUCCUGGACUAUUCCCUUAGGGCUGGUAAACGAUGGCUCACUGAGCUCAGAAAACAAACCAUUGUGCAGAUACCGCCCCCAUCUAACAGGAGGGUGGAUGAAGAGGCUACAUUGGCAGCCCUAAACGGAGUAACCAUGUUAACACCUUCCACACCGGGGGAACAUAAGUCAGGAGAUUUAACUACGUCAGAGCACCCCAACAACUUAACAUCUAAGGACACUGACAUUGAACUCCUCGACUUCACUGAGCCCAGCCUGCAAUUUCAGAAAGUACCUAUGAGGAACCAGACCAGGACAAUUCUGGGAAAUGGACUUUACUGAAAUUAAGCCAGCAAGGUAUGGACUUAAAUAUCUCCUAAUCUUUGUAGAUACAUUUUCAGGAUGGAUUAAAGCCUUCCCCACAAAAAAAAAAAGAUGCAAAUCGUGGUCAAAAAGAUCCUGGAAGAUAUUUUUCCAGGAUACAGCCUGCCUAAGGUAAUAGGGUCUGAUAAUGGACCGGCAUUCGUGGCCCAGGUAAGUCAGGGGUUGGCCAGGACCCUGGGGAUUAAUUGGAAGUUACAUUGUGCUUAUAAACCCCA